This 254-nucleotide ribosomal RNA is filed under the name uncultured bacterium. Its description in RNAcentral is "partial 16S ribosomal RNA". It matches the Rfam family "Archaeal small subunit ribosomal RNA", at positions 474 to 727 of the family's 1478-position model. The record is from RNAcentral.
UACCAGCACCCCGAGUGGUCGGGACGUUUAUUGGGCCUAAAGCAUCCGUAGCCGGUUCUACAAGUCUUCCGUUAAAUCCACCUGCUUAACAGAUGGGCUGCGGAAGAUACUAUGGAGCUAGGAGGCGGGAGAGGCAAGCGGUACUCGAUGGGUAGGGGUAAAAUCCGUUGAUCCAUUGAAGACCACCAGUGGCGAAGGCGGCUUGCCAGAACGCGCUCGACGGUGAGGGAUGAAAGCUUGGGGGAGCAAACCGG